This 465-nucleotide ribosomal RNA is filed under the name uncultured bacterium. RNAcentral describes it as "partial 16S ribosomal RNA". It matches the Rfam family "Bacterial small subunit ribosomal RNA", at positions 338 to 795 of the family's 1533-position model. The record is from RNAcentral.
CCUACGGGUGGCAGCAGUGGGGAAUUUUGGACAAUGGGCGCAAGCCUGAUCCAGCUAUUCCGCGUGUGGGAUGACGGCCUUCGGGUUGUAAACCACUUUUGUAGAGAACGAAAAGUCUGUUGAUAAUACCGAUCGAUGAUGACGGUACUCUACGACUAAGCACCGGCUAACUACGUGACAGCAGCCGCGGUAAUACGUUGGGUGCGAGCGUUAAUCGGAAUUACUGGGCGUAAAGGGUGUGCGGGCGGGUUUGCAAGAUGGAUGUGCAAGCGCCGGGCUUAACCUGGGAAAGCCAUACAUUACUGCAAGACUAGAGUGCGUCAGAGGGGGGUGGAAUUCCAAGUGUAGCAGUGAAAUGCGUAGAUAUUUGGAAGAACACCGAUGGCGAAGGCAGCCCCCUGGGACGCAACUGACGCUCAUACACGAAAGCGUGGGGAGCAAACAGGAUUAGAUACCCUAGUAGUC